This is a long non-coding RNA of Dermochelys coriacea (leatherback sea turtle), 218 nucleotides long. RefSeq lists it as uncharacterized. The record is from RefSeq and is a predicted model, not a curated record. NCBI's taxonomy places the organism in Eukaryota, Metazoa, Chordata, Testudines, Dermochelyidae. The transcript has 3 exons.
UCUUUUUGCGAAUACAGACUAACACGGCUGCUACUCUGAAACCUAUAUCAUAUGAUGGAAUCUCUAUGGAUAGUAAUUCCAUGCUCAAAUAAUAAUAUAGCAGUAGGAGUAUACUACUGACCCCCUGACCAGGAUGGUGAUAGUGACUGUGAAAUGCUCAGGGAGAUUAGAGAGGCUAUAACAAUAAAAAACAAGAAAAAUAAUGGGGGAUUUCAUCU